Molecule: small RNA, 29 nt
Filed under: Bombyx mori (domestic silkworm)
Lineage: Eukaryota; Metazoa; Arthropoda; Insecta; Lepidoptera; Bombycidae
Description: ovarian small RNA-14191
Source: RNAcentral
CGACCUUAGGAGGGAGCACCCUUGCCCUC